RNAcentral lists this long non-coding RNA (385 nucleotides) under Olea europaea (common olive). RNAcentral describes it as "long non-coding RNA (OEUR_LNC009621)". Lineage: Eukaryota; Viridiplantae; Streptophyta; Magnoliopsida; Lamiales; Oleaceae. The record is from RNAcentral.
GCCAAACGCCCAAUUCCAAACCCUAUAUUCUACCUCCCCUUCGACCCCGCUGUCUCCCACUCUUGCAGACAAAGGUUUGACGUUUUUUUUACAACUUACUAUGUGACUUUUUAUGUGGAAUGCUUUAGCCAGGAUGAACGAGUUAUCACCAUUCCGAGUUGAAGCAAGUAGAUUUUGGUGGAAAUUUGAAAAUGACUGUUGGAAAAUUAUUUUUAGGUUACAAUCAAAGAUUGUAGGGUUUUGGCCAGAUUGGAAGAAUUGAUAAGGUUUGAGAUUGAAUAAAUUAUUUAAUUGAAUCUACCAUAAAAUUAGGGCAAAAAAGUAAUAGCAUUUAGCAGAUGUUGGAGAAGAAAACAAAAUCAUUGGUUUCAAAUGGCUUGGAAAU